RNAcentral lists this ribosomal RNA (256 nucleotides) under uncultured bacterium. Its description in RNAcentral is "partial 16S ribosomal RNA". It matches the Rfam family "Bacterial small subunit ribosomal RNA", at positions 524 to 777 of the family's 1533-position model. The record is from RNAcentral.
UACGGAGGGAGCUAGCGUUGUUCGGAAUUACUGGGCGUAAAGGGCGCGUAGGCGGCCUGUUAAGUCGAACGUGAAAUCCCUGGGCUCAACCCAGGAACUGCGUCCGAUACUGGCAGGCUUGAAUUCGGGAGAGGGAUGCGGAAUUCCAGGUGUAGCGGUGAAAUGCGUAGAUAUCUGGAGGAACACCGGUGGCGAAGGCGGCAUCUGGACCGAGAUUGACGCUGAGGCGCGAAAAGCCCAGGGGGAGCAAACGGGG